GAUGAACGCUGGCGGCGUGCUUAACACAUGCAAGUCGAACGAAGCACUUUAUUUGAUUUCCUUCGGGACUGAUUAUUUUGUGACUGAGUGGCGGACGGGUGAGUAACGCGUGGGUAACCUGCCUUGUACAGGGGGAUAACAGUUGGAAACGGCUGCUAAUACCGCAUAAGCUCACAGCAUCGCAUGAUGCAGUGUGAAAAACUCCGGUGGUAUAAGAUGGACCCGCGUUGGAUUAGCUAGUUGGUGAGGUAACGGCCCACCAAGGCGACGAUCCAUAGCCGACCUGAGAGGGUGACCGGCCACAUUGGGACUGAGACACGGCCCAAACUCCUACGGGAGGCAGCAGUGGGGAAUAUUGCACAAUGGGCGAAAGCCUGAUGCAGCGACGCCGCGUGAGCGAAGAAGUAUUUCGGUAUGUAAAGCUCUAUCAGCAGGGAAGAUAAUGACGGUACCUGACUAAGAAGCACCGGCUAAAUACGUG
RNAcentral lists this ribosomal RNA (481 nucleotides) under uncultured bacterium. RNAcentral describes it as "partial 16S ribosomal RNA". It matches the Rfam family "Bacterial small subunit ribosomal RNA", at positions 28 to 507 of the family's 1533-position model. The record is from RNAcentral.